GACGAACGCUGGCGGCGUGCUUAACACAUGCAAGUCGAACGGAAAGGCCCUGCUUUUGUUGUGUGCUCGAGUGGCGCACGUGUGAGUCACACGUGAGUAACCUGCCCUUUACUUUGGGAUAACUUCAGGAAACUGGGGCUAAUACCGGAUAGGCGCUCCUGCUGCAUGGUGGGGGUUGGAUAGUUUCGGCGGGUGGGGAUGGACUCGCGGCUUAUCAGCUUGGUGGUGGGGUAGUGGCUUACCAAGGCUUUGACGGGUAGCCGGCCUGAGAGGGUGACCGGCAACAGGGGGACUGAGAUACGGCGAAGACUCCUACGGGAAGCAGCAGUGGGGAAUAUUGCACAAUGGGCGGAAGCCUGAUGCAGCGACGACGCGUGCGGGAUGACGGACUGCGGGUGGUAAACCGCUAGCGACUGUGACGAAGCGGGAGUGACGGUAAUGGGAAAAGAAGCACCGGCUAACUACGUG
RNAcentral lists this ribosomal RNA (468 nucleotides) under uncultured bacterium. RNAcentral's name for it is "partial 16S ribosomal RNA". It matches the Rfam family "Bacterial small subunit ribosomal RNA", at positions 28 to 507 of the family's 1533-position model. The record is from RNAcentral.